Molecule: ribosomal RNA, 484 nt
Filed under: uncultured bacterium
Lineage: Bacteria
Description: partial 16S ribosomal RNA
Rfam family: Bacterial small subunit ribosomal RNA
Source: RNAcentral
AUUGAACGCUGGCGGCAGGCCUAACACAUGCAAGUCGAGCGGCUGAAGGGAGCUUGCUCCUGGAUUCAGUGGCGGACGGGUGAGUAAUGCCUCGGAAUCUGCCUGGUAGUGGGGGAUAACGUCCCGAAACGGGCGUUAAUACCGCAUACGUCCUGAGGGAGAAAUUGGGUGAUCUUCGGACCUCGCGCUAUCGGAUCAGCCUAGGUCAGAUUAGCUAGUUGGUGGGGUAAAGGCCUACCAAGGCGACGAUCCGUAACUGGUCUGAGAGGAUGAUCAGCCACACUGGAACUGAGACACGGCCCAGACUCCUACGGGAGGCAGCAGUGGGGAAUAUUGGACAAAGGGCGAAAGCCUGAUCCAGCAAUGCCGCGUGUGUGAAGAAGGUCUUCGGAUUGUAAAGCACUUUUGGCGGGAACGAAAAGGAGUGAGCUAAUACCACGGUGCGAUGACGGUACCAGCAGAAUAAGCACCGGCUAACUACGUG